Molecule: ribosomal RNA, 339 nt
Filed under: Triticum aestivum (bread wheat)
Lineage: Eukaryota; Viridiplantae; Streptophyta; Magnoliopsida; Poales; Poaceae
Description: partial small subunit ribosomal RNA
Source: RNAcentral
AUGGCAGAGGCUAGAGCUCUCAAAUUUGGUCUAACAUUGGCGCAAAGGGCGGGAUGCAAUCGCAUUAUCGUAAAUUCGGAUAAUAUGGAGGUGAUUGACUCUAUGAAUGAUGGAGGGCAGUCGGCGGGUGCGGCGGCAGCAAUCUUCGAAGACUGUUUUCAUUAUGCAUGUGAUUUCAUUACUGCUAGAUUUGAGCACUGUAAUAGGGAAACAAAUAAAGUAGCUCAUGAGCUUGCUAGAUUAGCUAGAUUUUCUUUGACUUCUGAUUGGUUUGAGGAGCCUUUAAGUGAAAUUGUAAUGUUCCUCACAAACGAUGUACUACUUAUUACAAAUGAAUAA